This 253-nucleotide ribosomal RNA is filed under the name uncultured bacterium. Its description in RNAcentral is "partial 16S ribosomal RNA". It matches the Rfam family "Bacterial small subunit ribosomal RNA", at positions 524 to 776 of the family's 1533-position model. The record is from RNAcentral.
UACAGAGGUCCCGAGCGUUGUUCGGAUUCAUUGGGCGUAAAGGGUGCGUAGGCGGCGGGGCAAGUCGGAUGUGAAAUCUCAGGGCUCAACCCUGAAACUGCAUUCGAUACUGCCUGGCUAGGGUACUGGAGAGGAGACUGGAAUUUACGGUGUAGCAGUGAAAUGCGUAGAUAUCGUAAGGAAGACCAGUGGCGAAGGCGAGUCUCUGGACAGUUACCGACGCUGAGGCACGAAGGCCAGGGGAGCAAACAGG